Molecule: ribosomal RNA, 301 nt
Filed under: uncultured bacterium
Lineage: Bacteria
Description: partial 16S ribosomal RNA
Rfam family: Bacterial small subunit ribosomal RNA
Source: RNAcentral
CAGUCGCCACGGUAACACGAACCGUGCGAACGUUAUUCGGAAUUACUGGGCUUAAAGCGCGUGUAGGCGGCUGGGCGCGUCGGAUGUUGAAAGCCCCCGGCUCAACCGGGGAAGUGGCACCGAUACGGCCGAGCUGGAGGAAGGUAGGGGGGUCUGGAUCUUCCGGUGGAGCGGUGAAAUUCGUAGAUAUUCGGAAGAACACCAGUGGCGAAGGCGACUCGCUGGACAAGUAUUGACGCUGAGGUGCGAAAGCGUAGGGAGCAAACAGGAUUAGAUACCCGCGUAGUCCCUGUCUCUUAUA